This 1397-nucleotide ribosomal RNA is filed under the name uncultured bacterium. RNAcentral describes it as "16S ribosomal RNA". It matches the Rfam family "Bacterial small subunit ribosomal RNA". The record is from RNAcentral.
AGAGUUUGAUCCUGGCUCAGGAUGAACCUUAGCGGCAGGCUUAACACAUGCAAGUCGAGGGGCAGCAGCGAGGAGUAGCAAUACACUUCGGCUGGCGACCGGCGCAAGGGUGCGUAACGCGUGAGCAACAUGCCCGUAUCAGGGACAUAACCGGUGGAAACGCCGCCUAAUUUCCCAUAACAUGUGAAGAGGCAUCUCUUUAUAUUGAAAGAUUCGUCGGAUACGGAUUGGUUCGCGUGAUAUUAGCUAGUUGGUGAGGUAACGGCUCACCAAGGCGACGAUAUCUAGGGGUUCUGAGAGGAAGGUCCCCCACAUUGGAACUGAGACACGGUCCAAACUCCUACGGGAGGCAGCAGUGAGGAAUAUUGGUCAAUGGUCGGAAGACUGAACCAGCCAUGCCGCGUGAAGGAUUAAGGCCCUAUGGGUCGUAAACUUCUUUUGUACGGGAGCAAUAAGGCAUACGAGUAUGCCGAUGAGAGUACCGUACGAAUAAGCAUCGGCUAACUCCGUGCCAGCAGCCGCGGUAAUACGGAGGAUGCAAGCGUUAUCCGGAUUUAUUGGGUUUAAAGGGUGCGCAGGCGGCUUUUUAAGUCAGUGGUUAAAUCGUGACGCUCAACGUCAUCACGCCAUUGAUACUGGAGAGCUUGAUUGCGGUCGAGGUUUGCGGAAUUCGUUGUGUAGCGGUGAAAUGCAUAGAUAUGACGAAGAACACCGAUUGCGUAGGCAGCAGACCAGGCCGUAAAUGACGCUCAUGCACGAAAGUGCGGGGAUCAAACAGGAUUAGAUACCCUGGUAGUCCGCACAGUAAACGAUGAUAACUAACCGUUGGCGAUAUACAGUCAGUGGCUAAGCGAAAGCGAUAAGUUAUCCACCUGGGGAGUACGUUCGCAAGAAUGAAACUCAAAGGAAUUGACGGGGGCCCGCACAAGCGGAGGAACAUGUGGUUUAAUUCGAUGAUACGCGAGGAACCUUACCCGGGCUCGAACGGCUGGUGAAGAGAUCCAGAGAUGGUGACGUCCGCAAGGACACCAGUCGAGGUGCUGCAUGGUUGUCGUCAGCUCGUGCCGUGAGGUGUCGGCUUAAGUGCCAUAACGAGCGCAACCCUUUUCCGUAGUUACCAUCAUUCAGUUGGGGACUCUACGGACACUGCCAUCGUAAGAUGUGAGGAAGGAUGGGAUGACGUCAAAUCAGCACGGCCCUUACGUCCGGGGCGACACACGUGUUACAAUGGGCAGGACAGCAAGGAUCGAGGCGGUGACGCUGAGGGAAUCUCCAAACCUGCUCCCAGUUCGGAUCGGAGUCUGCAACCCGACUCCGUGAAGCUGGAUUCGCUAGUAAUCGCGCAUCAGCCAUGGCGCGGUGAAUACGUUCCCGGGCCUUGCACACAAGGCCCGUCA